Molecule: ribosomal RNA, 626 nt
Filed under: uncultured bacterium
Lineage: Bacteria
Description: bacterial SSU rRNA
Rfam family: Bacterial small subunit ribosomal RNA
Source: RNAcentral
UGCAGUCGANGGCAGCACGGGGGCACCCUGGUGGCGAGUGGCGAACGGGUGAGUAACAUAUCGGAACGUGCCCUGGAGUGGGGGAUAACUAGUCGAAAGAUUAGCUAAUACCGCAUACGAUCUACGGAUGAAAGUGGGGGAUCGCAAGACCUCAUGCUCGUGGAGCGGCCGAUAUCUGAUUAGCUAGUUGGUGGGGUAAAGGCCUACCAAGGCAUCGAUCAGUAGCUGGUCUGAGAGGACGACCAGCCACACUGGGACUGAGACACGGCCCAGACUCCUACGGGAGGCAGCAGUGGGGAAUUUUGGACAAUGGGCGCAAGCCUGAUCCAGCAAUGCCGCGUGAGUGAAGAAGGCCUUCGGGUUGUAAAGCUCUUUUGUCAGGGAAGAAACGGUUCGGGUUAAUACCUUGGGCUAAUGACGGUACCUGAAGAAUAAGCACCGGCUAACUACGUGCCAGCAGCCGCGGUAAUACGUANGGUGCAAGCGUUAAUCGGAAUUACUGGGCGUAAAGCGUGCGCAGGCGGUUGUGCAAGACAGAUGUGAAAUCCCCGGGCUCAACCUGGGAAUUGCAUUUGUGACUGUACGGCUAGAGUGUGUCANAGGGGGGUAGAANUCCACGUGUAGCA